RNAcentral lists this ribosomal RNA (253 nucleotides) under uncultured bacterium. RNAcentral describes it as "partial 16S ribosomal RNA". It matches the Rfam family "Bacterial small subunit ribosomal RNA", at positions 524 to 776 of the family's 1533-position model. The record is from RNAcentral.
UAUAGAGGUGGCAAGCGUUGUUCGGAAUUACUGGGCGUAAAGGGCGCGUAGGCGGUCUUUUAAGUUCCGUGUGAAAUCCCUCGGCUCAACUGGGGAACGGCACGGGAAACUGGAAGGCUUGAGUUCGGGAGAGGGAAGCGGAAUUCCGGGUGUAGCGGUGAAAUGCGUAGAUAUCCGGAGGAACACCGGUGGCGAAGGCGGCUUCCUGGACCGACACUGACGCUGAGGCGCGAAAGCUAGGGGAGCAAACGGG